Molecule: ribosomal RNA, 329 nt
Filed under: uncultured beta proteobacterium
Lineage: Bacteria; Pseudomonadati; Pseudomonadota; Betaproteobacteria
Description: bacterial SSU rRNA
Rfam family: Bacterial small subunit ribosomal RNA
Source: RNAcentral
GAGUUUGAUCUUAGCUCAGAUUGAACGCUGGCGGAAUGCUUUACACAUGCAAGUCGAGCGGCAGCGCGGGGGCAACCUGGCGGCGAGCGGCGAACGGGUGAGUAAUGCAUCGGAACAUGUCCAUGUCGUGGGGGAUAGCCCGGCGAAAGCCGGAUUAAUACCGCAUACGCCCGAGAGGGGAAAGUGGGGGACCGCAAGGCCUCACGCGAUUGGGUUGGCCGAUGUCCGAUUAGCUAGUUGGCGGGGUAAGAGCCCACCAAGGCGAUGAUCGGUAGCUGGUCUGAGAGGAUGAUCAGCCACACUGGGACUGAGACACGGCCCAGACUCCU